Molecule: long non-coding RNA, 2256 nt
Organism: Mya arenaria
Lineage: Eukaryota; Metazoa; Mollusca; Bivalvia; Myida; Myidae
Exons: 2
Source: RefSeq, a predicted model, not a curated record
UAUCAAGGAAGUUGCUACAUGUACUUUCGUUUUUUGAAGACGCCUGAAAUUCGUUUACUAUCCAAACUGCAACUAUUUAAAUCAUACAACCACAUGUGAAAGUAAUGAGUUGUGUACUAAAGAUAUUCGAGUAACUAUCGAAAAGGACUUUCUUUCAAGAGUCGCCAAAAGAUCACAAUAUAACAGUACCCAGAUGAAAACCACUUGCCUGGCUUACAAUACCACAGCACCAAGAUGAAAACCACUUGCCUGGCUCACAAUACCACAGUACCAAGAUGAAAACCACUUGCCUGGCUCACAAUACCACAGUACCCAGAUGAAAACCACUUGCCUGGCUUACAAUACCACAGUACCAAGAUGAAAACCACUUGCCUGGCUUACAAUACCACAGUACCAAGAUGAAAACCACUUGCCUGGCUUACAAUACCACAGUACCAAGAUGAAAACCACUUGCCUGGCUCACAAUACCACAGUACCAAGAUGAAAAUCACUUGCCUGGCUCACAAUACCACAGUACCAAGAUGAAAACCACUUGCUUGGCUCACAAUACCACAGUACCAAGAUGAAAACCACUUGCCUGACUCACAAUACCACAGUACCAAGAUGAAAACCACUUGCCUGGCUUACAAUACCACAGUACCAAGAUGAAAACCACUUGCCUGGCUUACAAUACCACAGUACCAAGAUGAAAACCACUUGCCUGGCUUACAAUACCACAGUACCAAGAUGAAAACCACUUGCCUGGCUCACAAUACCACAGUACCCAGAUGAAAACCACUUGCCUGGCUCACAAUACCACAGUACCAAGAUGAAAACCACUUGCUUGGCUCACAAUACCACAGUACAUAGAUGAAAACCACUUGCCUGGCUUACAAUACCACAGUACCAAGAUGAAAACCACUUGCCUGGCUUACAAUUCCACAGUACCAGAUGAAAACCACUUGCCUGGCUCACAAUACCACAGUACCAAGAUGAAAUCCACUUGCCUGGCUUACAAUACCACAGUACCAAGAUGAAAACUACUUGCCUGGCUUACAAUACCACAGUACCCAGAUGAAAACCACUUGCCUGGCUCACAAAAACACAGUUCCAUUGGGAAAAUCACUUGCCUGGGUCACAAAAUCACAGUACACAGGGGAAAAUCACUUGCCUGGCUCACAAAAUCACAGUACACAGGGCAAAAUCACUUCCCUGGCUCACAAAAUCACAGUACCAAGAUGAAAAUAAUUUGCAUGGAUCCAAAAUCACAGUAUCCAGAUGAAAACCACUUGCCUGGCUCACAAAAUCAGAGUUCCCAGAGGAAAAUCGCUUGCCUGGCUCACAAAAUCACAGUACCCAGAUGAAAAUCACUUGUCUGGCUCACAAAAUCACAGUUCCAAGAUAAAAAAAAACCCAUUUGCCUGGUUCGCAAAAUCACAGUACUAAGAGGAAAAUCACUUGUCUGCCUUGCAAAAUCACAGUACCAAGAUGAGAAAUCACAGUACCCAGAGGAAAAUCACUUGUCUGGCUCGCAAAAUCACAGCACCCAGAAGAAAAUCACUUGUCUGAACAGAUGAAAACCACUUGCAUGUCUAACAAAAUCACAGUACCCAGAUGAAAACCAUUUGCCUGGCUCACAAAAUCACAGUUCCCGAGAGGAAAACCACUUGCCUGGCUCACAAAAUCACAGUACCCAGAUGAAAACCACUUGCCUGGCUCACAAAAUCACAGUACCCAGAUGAAAACCACUUGCCUGGCUCACAAAAUCACAGUACCCAGAUGAAAACCACUUGCCUGGCUCACAAAAUCACAGUACCCAGUACUUACCUAUCUCACAAAGUACCACUAUCCAGAUGAAAUACUGCUGUACCAAGAUGAAAAUCACUGACUCACAAAAUCAACUAAAUUGAUAUAGCCUAGAUACCUACUGGUAUGUGUAGAUUUAUGUGUUAAUUUGCUGUUUUUAUUAAUAAACAUUAAAGUAAUGACCUCAUACUACUGUUUGCAAUCAAACUUUGGAAAACGUGCUUGACAAUCGUUUAAACAAAGCACGAUGCUAUUUUGCACUGAAGAGGCAAUCAAUUUGAACUGCCUCAACAGCGAAUUCGGGCUGUCAGUUUUAGUUCUUGAAACUAUUUUGUUUGUAAUUACGCGUUUUUACGAGUGUAAUUUAACGCUACAAUUUAUGGCCAGUUGAUGUAAAACCAUUGCAAAAUGUACAUGCAUUGAUACUUAACAUGUGUAGCUGUCUUUUCAUUUUUUAAAACUCACACCUUA